AAAAUAGUAAUAGGAUUACAUGAAAUUGUCACCAAAAGUAAGCUUGAAGUUGAGAAGAGCAAAUUUGCAACAAAAAUUCAACAAAAUUUCGACCCUCGUGGGGCCCUAGGCCUCUCUACUUAUACAAUUGAAGCUCCCAAUAGCUUCCUUAAAAUCAAGGAGACUUGGCUCCCAAAACUCAAGAUAAACAUAAGUUAUCCUCCACUUGCUCAGCUACCUCCUAGUGCAUUGAUUUGGUAGUUUGUACUAUGAGCUGCAUGAAGGAUAAUUCGAAGUGGGAAGUAAUAAAUGAGGGGAAUUCCCUCCUAUAAAUCCUCUCCUUUGUCCACUUCAAAUUAUUUCUACCAAUUUUCCAUUGAAUCUUUGACUUUUUCUUCAAAAUUCAACAAAAAUCUUCAUUAAACACAUAUUAGACCUCAUGGCAUCAUAACUAACCCAAAUCACUCCAUAAGCAUAAAUAUAAUAAAAAAACAUGCAAUAAGAUAAGAGAGUGCUUGAUUUAACUAUGUUAGGAUGCAAAAUGAGCCCAUAUAAUUACCCAUUUAUGGGGCUCAUCAGACCCAAAAGAUGGUGAACUAUGUCUGAGCAAGGGGAAGCCAAUAGGAAACUCUGGUGGAGGCGCGUAGUGAUACUGAUGUGUAAAUCAUUCGUCUGACUUGGGUAUAGGGGAAAAGACUAAUAGAACCAUCUAGUAGUUGGUUUCCUCUGAAGUUUCCCUCAAUAUAGGUGGAGCUCACAUGCGGGUUUUAUCGGGUAAAGAAAAUGAUUAGAGGCAUUGGGGGUGUAAUUUCCUUUACCAAUUCUCAAACUUUAAAUAGGUAAGAGGGUGAAGCUGCUCCAUUGAGCCAUGCCAUGUUAUUGAGAGCUCAAAGUGGGCCAUUUUUGGUAAGAAGAAUUGGUAAUUCAGGAUGAAUAGAAAGUCAAGUCAUGGUGUCAAAUUGCAUGCUAACCUAGAUCUUCCAAAUGGUUUUUGUUGAUUAAGACAGCAAGAUGGUGGCCGUGGAAGUAAAAAUCUGUUAAGGAGCGUCUAACAACUCACCUACUUAAUCAACUAGCCCUGAAAAUUGAUGGCGUUGAAGCACACAACCUAUAAUCAACUGUCGGAGCAAUUGCCUAGCUUCGAUGAGUAGGAGGACGUAGAGGUCAUUGAGAAACCUCAGGCAUGAGCUUCGGUGGAUCAACCCUUGGUGUCAAUCUUGGUGGUAGUAGAAAAUAUUCAAAUGAGAACUUGGAAGAUUGAAGUGGGGAAAGGUUCCAUGUGAACAACACUUGGACAUGGGUUAGUCAAUCCUAAGAGAUGGGGAAGCCUUGUAUCAAGGGUUCACUCUACACGAGUAUUCAAAGGGAAUCAGGUUAACAUUCUUGAACUGGGACAUGGUGAUGGGUGGAAACGUUAGGCAACUUGGAGACGUUAGCGAGGGCCCUAGGAAGAGUUAUCUUUUUUUUUUUAAACAACUUGCCCACCCUGGAAUCAGUUCACCCAGAGAUAGGUUCCAACAACUAUAAGAGUACCGCACGUCUUACAGUGUCUGGUGCUCCCUCAACAGCCCUUGAAAAUAUGGAAGAGUGAGUACUGUGCAUGUGUAUUUGUACUCAUAACCACAUCAAGUCUCCAAGGUGAACAACCUUUGGUCAAUAGAACAAUGUAGGUAAGGGAAGUGGGAAAAAUGGAUUUGUAACUUUAGGAAAAGGAUUGGAUUUGGGGGCUGGGCCUAGGAGUCUAUGCCCUAGACUCAUGCACUAUCUAUAGUUUGCCUGAGCUACUCUCAUGGCAAGGGCAAGUAGCCACAUGCUGAUUGGGCUAUAGGUGUAUAAUUCCCCCCACCAAGGGCUUUUCCCUAGGUAGCGGACAUUCGACUCAGAACUGGUAUAGACAAGGGGAAUCUGACUAUUUAAUUAAAGUAAAGCAUUGUGAUGGUCCCUGCAGAUGUUGGCACAAUGUGAUUUCUUCCUAGUGCUUUGAAUGCCAAAGUGAAGAAAUUGAACCAAGUGCAGGUAAAGGGCGGGAGUAAAUAUGACUCUCUUAAGGUAUCCAAAUGCCUCAUCAUCUCAUUAGUGACACACAUGAAUGGAUUAAAGAGAUUCCCACUAUUCCUAUAUACUAUCUAGUAAAACCGGAACCAAGGAAAAGGGCUUGGCAGAAUCAUCAAGGAAAGAAGACCCUGUUUAGCUUGACUCUAGUCUGACUUUGUGAAAUGACUUGAGAGGUGUAGAAUAAGUGGGAGUCAUUUUCAGUGCAAGUGAAAUACCACUAUUUUUAACGUAAUUUUACUUAUUUCGUGGGGUGGAGAUAGGGCUCUACCCCUAUUUUUAGCGUUAAGGCACGUUUCAGUGGGUCAAUCCAGGUGGAAGAUAUUGUCAGUGGGGAGUUUAGCUGGGUCGACACAUCUAUUAAAAGAUAACGCAUGUGUCCUAAGAUGAGCUCAACGAGAACACAAAUCUCGUGUGGAACAAAAGGGUAAAAACUCAUUUGAUUUUUAUUUUCAGUAUGAAUACAAAACAUGAAAGCAUGGCCUAUCGAUUUUUUAGAUUUUUAGAAUUUGAAGCUAGAUUUGUCACAAAAGUUACCAUAGGGAUAACUGGCUUGUGGCAGUCAAGCUUCAUAGCAACAUUUCUUUUUUAUCAUUCAAUGUUAGCUCUUCUUAUCAUUGUGAAGUAUAAUUCACCAAGUGUGGGAUUUUUCACCCAUCGAUAGGGAAUGUAAGCUGGGUUUAGACUGCCAUAAGAUAGGUUAGUCUUACCCUACUAAUGAACCUCACCGCAAUAGUAAUUCAACUUAGUACGAGAGGAACUGUUGAUUCACACAAUUGCUCAUCACGCUUAGUUGAAAAGCUAGUGGAGUGAAGCUACCAUGUGUCAUAUUAUGACUGAACGCCUCUAAGUCAGGGUCCAUGCUAGAAGCAGUGCAUGUCGCUCUUUGACUGUAUCUCAACCCACAGUAGGGGUGUCACUUUGUCGCCCCAAGGGGCCCAUGUCAUUUAUAAACCAUGACUGUGAAGCAUAUGGGUCGGGGAAACUUUGAAGUUCAAUUCCCAACAGUUGUUAAGAAGAAUCCUUUACAAACAACUUAAAUACGUGACAA
Molecule: ribosomal RNA, 3082 nt
Filed under: Pinus taeda (loblolly pine)
Lineage: Eukaryota; Viridiplantae; Streptophyta; Pinopsida; Pinales; Pinaceae
Description: eukaryotic LSU rRNA
Rfam family: Eukaryotic large subunit ribosomal RNA (bases 412-3082)
Source: RNAcentral